GAGCUACUGUGAGUUCCAGGUGGCUCCUAAGCUGUGCCUGGGGCCUUUUGAGGGGCUCUCCAGUUGGGAUUCACAGGAAACAAUAGAAAUGCAAGAAAAGGGCUCAUAGAUGCACCCCAGCACCUAACUAGUGUUGCUUCUUCUCUAGGCACCGGCUUCUUCUUGACAACGUCCCCGGGUGACUCUUAGAACUCAAUGGCCACGUCCAGCUCAGAGUUAUCCGGACAGCUGUAGUUGCACACGUGAUAACUGGCGGCACCCACUCUUACCACGUGACCAUGUGUUCUCGCCAUGUGACUGUGGCAGUUCCAUGAUGAGGACUCCUCUCAGUUUCCACUCUGUCACAGCCCUGCCCUGGACUCAUGUGGACACCCGAACCUUUGCUGUGUGAGUUGUCAUCUCUCCUAGGACCUAGCCUACAACAUACAACAUAAGAUUGUAGUGUCACUGCCCCCCUGGUAGUGUCACUGCUCCCCCUGGGUCUCAGACUACCUGCCUGUGAAGUGGGAUUGUUCUCCACAUAGAUGUUUUGCUUAGCAUAGACCAAUACGAGGCAGCCUGAAGUGGGUCCUAUACCCCCAGCUCUGCCCUGUCCCCAGGGGCGGAGUUUACAACUCUCUCUGCCUCUAGUUUACAACUGGAUUCUGAAUAAGAGAGAGAAUAAUAAUGGGGAGCAUAAAGGAGGCCAAUAACCCCUGGAUCCACCCCUCCGUGGGGCUCUGGCUGGUCACUGAGUUCCUACUGCCCUCUGCCUAGAAAGGCGUGGAGAGCAGCCAUGGUGAGUGGGCAGUGGGACCCCUGGCUGGCCAGCGGAUGAAAAAGGGGCUCUAACUAGAUAAAUGAUGGUGCUUGUUUACAAAGUGGCUGAGGCAGGAUAGAACGUCUCUAGGGCCAUCCUAGCUGGAGCCAUCGAGAGUGGGGACCAGGCACAGCCACACACUCGUGAAGUGAGUCCUCCUGGGAUCCCUGUUGGUGGCCAUCUUGGCAACUGAUCCCUCAACCUAUUGGCCCCAGACAGGACUGCUCUACCUGGACCAUCUGUUCUAGGAGCACAGGCUGGCACCUGAGCCCCCUGGCUUGAGGCCUCCCCAGCAUGGGCAGAUUAGGACAUGUCCUGCAGAGAAACUAGGGCAGAAAAUUGUAACCCCGAAGCGCACAGGCCUAGGCAGCCUCACAUCUGCUACCAUUAAGUGUAAGAACUUCAGUGCUCUUUGACAGGCCCACCAUGGCCCACCAGGAGCCCCUUGAAGGGAGGUGUGGAAGUUGCUGGAAGCCCUGAGCGUGCUUGGAACUUCAGCAGGAGGAAGGCUCUGCUGGAAAGAGCCUGUUUAACACACUUUCUCUGACCAGACCAUCUCAGGCCUCAGCACAGGGCAGAGCCUUGUUUCCAU
Molecule: long non-coding RNA, 1391 nt
Filed under: Mus spicilegus (steppe mouse)
Lineage: Eukaryota; Metazoa; Chordata; Mammalia; Rodentia; Muridae
Description: lncRNA (ENSMSIG00000019024.1)
Source: RNAcentral